RNAcentral lists this ribosomal RNA (355 nucleotides) under uncultured eukaryote. RNAcentral describes it as "partial 18S ribosomal RNA". It matches the Rfam family "Eukaryotic small subunit ribosomal RNA", at positions 592 to 975 of the family's 1831-position model. The record is from RNAcentral.
CAAUAGCGUAUAUUAAAGUUGUUGCAGUUAAAAAGCUCGUAGUUGAAUUUCUGGCGGGCGCGCCGGUCUUCCAAGUGUUGUACUGGGCGCAGUCCGCCAUCCUUGUGGAGAGGGCUCGCAUUGAGUUGCGUGUCGGAUCUGCAUCAUUUACUGUGAGUGUUCAAAGCAGGCUGUCGCUUGAAUACAUUAGCAUGGAAUAAUAAGAUAGGACUUCGGUCUAUUUUGUUGGUUGCGAACCGAGGUAAUGAUUAAUAGGGAUAGUUGGGGGUAUUCAUAUUUAAUUGUCAGAGGUGAAAUUCUUGGAUUUAUGAAAGAUGAACAACUGCGGAAGCAUUUACCAAGGAUGUUUUCAUUA